AGGACGAACGCUGGCGGCGCGCCUCAUACAUGCAAGUCGAGCGCGUUCCCCGCAAGGGGGGCGAGCGGCAGACGGGUGAGUAACACGUGAGCAAUCUACCCAGAGGUUCGGAAUAACUCCGGGAAACCGGAGCUAAUACCGGAUGAUGUCGUUGGGGGCAUCCCUGACGAGCAAAGGUGCCGCAAGGCAUCGCCUGUGGAGGGCUCGCGGGCCAUUAGCUAGUUGGUGAGGUAACGGCCCACCAAGGCGACGAUGGCUAGCCGGCCUAAGAGGGUGGUCGGCCACACUGGGACUGAGACACGGCCCAGACUCCUACGGGAGGCAGC
This 326-nucleotide ribosomal RNA is filed under the name uncultured prokaryote. Its description in RNAcentral is "bacterial SSU rRNA". It matches the Rfam family "Bacterial small subunit ribosomal RNA", at positions 26 to 352 of the family's 1533-position model. The record is from RNAcentral.